CCCCUCGUACACAUUCUAAAGCCAAGGCCAGGCCAGCUCUUCAUUUCAACCAUCCAAAAGCAAACCAUGUGCCUGCGAAAUUUCCCAUUUUCUCUUUCAUAAUCCCAAGCAGUUCAACAUGGCUUUUUGCAUCAACUAUCAAAGUCUACCUCCAUGUUUAGGCAACAGCUGAUACUAUUCAAACAAGGUGGAAACUUUUCCUGCCAAAACAAAUCAGGAUACCUUCCUCACCUCGUUCAAACACAUUCACUUGUUUGCUGCUCACAUAUUCAACACAAUUAUACAUUUCAAGCUUCAAAGAAAGCUGCCACAAUUAUGUAGUUGCUAUGAUUAUGUGGUUCACGCAUGGAAAAUUUAAAGAAAGAAAAACUUAUUAAAAGAAGAACAUGAAAUGAUGAAAAGACAAGGGGCGGGGGUAGUUAUGCCACUGGCAAGAAGAGAACACAACAACAGAUUUAACAGUUAAAAUUGAACCGCAUCAUCCCCCCUGGAGAUUUCAAACCUCAGUAAUGCACGUAUUCAGGUAUUAGGUUCCCUACUGUUGUAAGCAAUGCACAAUCUAUUCACAAAGUGGCCUACAUAUGUUCAGCCACACCUUUUUUCACCUUCGAAGGAAAGCUACUCCAGUAUCUCCAUAGUGCUUCCAUAUUAGAUUCUUUUGCCAGGCAAAAAUGGCCUUUGAAGAGUUACCUCAAGCAAGCAUAACAUUUAUUUACCCAACAAUAAAACAUGCAACUAACAAUUAGCAUGGGGCUAGAAAAGGAUAUAACAUAUGAAUAAGCUCAUCAAAAGAGAAAACAAGCUAUCAUAAAAAUUAAAAACCAGAAGAACACUCCAAAUUUCUGCCCACUGUAGCACCAUCAUCAUCUCUUAAUCAAAUUAUAAUUCUGAAAAUAAUGUAGCAUAACACAAAAGCGCUUGUUAUGGACAGAAAAUGAUGGGCAUGGGAGAAUAAGAAUUUGAACCAUGCAAAGCUAGUUGAACUUAAAGGAGGGAACCAUAAAUCUAAAACAUAUGAACAGGUCUCAAGAGAAGCAUGCUAUCCCUUAAUUGGCCAACACUCUUAACAAUGUAAUAUGCUACAAGCGGAUAGUUAACAUAUGCCCACAAUAAUCCACACUAAUGGAAAUCUACACUCUUGUUUUUGGGAAACAACAGAAAAAGAUGCUAUGCUAUACUUAACGUCAGAUGAUAGAGUAUAUAAAUUCCAACACCAAAUAGCACAGCUAAUUACUACAACAUGAGACCUGCCAUCUACUUACAGAAAUUUUAUCCAAGCACCAUGCAAUUGAACCUAAAUGCUAGAAGGAUAAAAACACCAAGAAAUGGCAAACUGCUUGUAUAUAGGACAUAAAAGUAACUGUGUAAAGCAAAUAAAGAACAGUUGUCAAGGCACUGGCACAUGCAC
Molecule: long non-coding RNA, 1408 nt
Filed under: Manihot esculenta (cassava)
Lineage: Eukaryota; Viridiplantae; Streptophyta; Magnoliopsida; Malpighiales; Euphorbiaceae
Description: long non-coding RNA (MESC_LNC002655)
Source: RNAcentral